Molecule: ribosomal RNA, 495 nt
Filed under: uncultured bacterium
Lineage: Bacteria
Description: bacterial SSU rRNA
Rfam family: Bacterial small subunit ribosomal RNA
Source: RNAcentral
ACUCGAGUACGGCAGAGGGAGGUGGAAUUCCGCGUGUAGCAGUGAAAUGCGUAGAUAUGCGGAGGAACACCGAUGGCGAAGGCAGCCUCCUGGGCCAGUACUGACGCUCAUGCACGAAAGCGUGGGGAGCAAACAGGAUUAGAUACCCCUGGUAGUCCACGCCCUAAACGAUGUCAACUAGUUGUUCGGUGAGGAGACUCAUUGAGUAACGCAGCUAACGCGUGAAGUUGACCGCCUGGGGAGUACGGCCGCAAGGUUAAAACUCAAAGGAAUUGACGGGGACCCGCACAAGCGGUGGAUGAUGUGGAUUAAUUCGAUGCAACGCGAAAAACCUUACCUACCCUUGACAUGCCAGGAAGUUUCCAGAGAUGGAUUCGUGCUCGAAAGAGAGCCUGGACACAGGUGCUGCAUGGCUGUCGUCAGCUCGUGUCGUGAGAUGUUGGGUUAAGUCCCGCAACGAGCGCAACCCUUGUCAUUAGUUGCCAGCAUUCAGUU